This 1889-nucleotide long non-coding RNA is filed under the name Zea mays. RNAcentral's name for it is "long non-coding RNA (ZMAY_LNC001409)". Lineage: Eukaryota; Viridiplantae; Streptophyta; Magnoliopsida; Poales; Poaceae. The record is from RNAcentral.
GAGGCGAUCGCCGGCGCCGCUUGCUGGCUCCACCGUAUUCGGCGCUGGUGGCGAGGCGAGGGCUUGAUCACAGCGUGCGAGAGGACGGUCGCGGUUCUCUAGGCGCAGCGACUGAUGCCAAUCGCUGCCGGGAGCGGGGUUGGCGCCGAGCAGGUUAGUUGUUUGGUAGAUUGCUGAUUAGGUAUUUCGUAGCCUGUUUUGCGCAUCCGCUCUCAGCAUAUCGGCUUUCUGGCAGAAAGUUUCUGCAACUUGUUAUGUAUAUCGUUAAUCUCGCUGCAUUCGCUUAUGUGUUUGGCGCGGGGAGUAGAUUGUCUCAAUUCCACCACAGAGAAGUGGAGAAAUUCCUUCCGCUGGUUCUCAUUCAGCGAGUGCCAAACUGCAAAUAGGUGAAGGUGAAAAUUAAAAUACGCUACGCAUGGGAGCAUAGCUUCGAUCACCUGCUCGAUGAAAUGCCGGCAUCAGUUCAUAAAUAGCAGUUGCAGCGUUGCAACUGGCUUGCAUUUUUUUCCCCCGGACCCCCCAUGAAGAUUUGCUCGCACAAGGCUGUCAGAUAGUCCAUUGUGCUUUUGUUGGGCUGUUUCUGUACGCGUUGGACAUCGGCAUGCAUGAUGACAUGGGCCAGGUCGCCACGGAAAAAACGAGAUUUGGGCGGAGAGUUUGGUGCGCCGAGUAGGGUUGGUAUAUGCAGGUGAUUGGUCGUUGUGCAGCGUAGGUACAGGGUCGUUGGUUGUUUGAAUCGUACUUCGUGAGCAGUUAGUGCUGUUGAUCGGUUCAGGAUCUCGUAUCUGGUAGAAGGCACGGAUGAGGCAUGCAGACUCUUCGAGGCCUCAUGCAUGGUAGACUGGUAGACGUCUGUAGCUAAAGACAGACUGGUAUGGUUUUACUGAACUUGAAAAGGUUGUUAGCUAGCUAAUCAAUCGAUGUUAGUUUCGUAGAGAGUCAACGCAAAUCACCUUUGCCAAUGGUCAAUUGUAUACUCCGAAGUCCAAACACACACCUUUUAUCACAUAAGUUGUGUUUGGUUGGAUGUAUAAGAAGGAAUGAAAAGUGGCGAGCAUAGUUUCUAUAUUGUUUUUGACGAGAGUCACGUGGGGGUGAGGUAAACACCGAAGUAUUUUUUUGGUGACGGUGUGAUAAAAAAAAUUGAGGGCACGAUGUCACCUCCGUCUCAUUCUACUUUGACCUCAACAAACACGUCCUUACAGUACGUCAUAUGUCUGUCAAAACGGUGCCCAGUUGAGACGGUGCUGUUCAUUUUCACUCUGAGCUUCCAUGAAUUGCUCACCCUUUUGCUAACAGUAUUGGAACCCAGGGGCCAGUGAUCUUCAUUUAGCUGUUAUGUUAAUUAUCUGAAACAUUUCAUACACUCCUUUUUUUGUCGUCUGAAUCUUAACAUAUAACUGUACCUUGAAGAAACCCAGCUGAGCACAACCAGUUGUAAGGGGGGAAAAAGAAAGAAAGAAGCUGAUGACACACCCAAUGGCUUGAUCAAACAUUUCAUAUUCCCCAGUUUUUAGAACUCAGAUCCACAACAUUGCAUUUACAUACACCUGGGAAAACAGAUGUAAUCGUUUAUGACGGGCAGAAUGGGCGGCAUCAUUAAACUAACUUCCUCUGCAUUUCCUCGUGCAUGUAUGUUAUGUAAUGUUGCUUCUUCCCAUAAAGCCGCAGCUGUUUCAGUUUGAUCAUCUAAUGAUUGUUGCCACCCCUUUUUGUCCGGCAGGCAUACAUACGCUUAAAAUAAAAUAACCAUCAAGGGAAGGCAAGGAAGAAGCAUGUGCACGUUGAAGCUCGUGCCUCACUGCCUGAUGAUGGUGAAACGCCCUCAUGGCGCAUGGGAGGGGGGCCCCUGUAGUGCUGUCUGCCCAAGUGCCGAGCACGACCAGAGC